Molecule: ribosomal RNA, 254 nt
Filed under: uncultured bacterium
Lineage: Bacteria
Description: partial 16S ribosomal RNA
Rfam family: Bacterial small subunit ribosomal RNA
Source: RNAcentral
CACGUAGGCACCAAGCGUUGUCCGGAUUUAUUGGGCGUAAAGAGCUCGUAGGCGGUUCAGUAAGUCGGGUGUGAAAACUCUGGGCUCAACCCAGAGACGCCACCCGAUACUGCCGUGGCUAGAGUCCGGUAGAGGAGCGUAGAAUUCCUGGUGUAGCGGUGAAAUGCGCAGAUAUCAGGAGGAAUACCAGCGGCGAAGGCGGCGCUCUGGGCCGGUACUGACGCUGAGGAGCGAAAGCGUGGGGAGCAAACAGG